Long non-coding RNA from Callithrix jacchus (white-tufted-ear marmoset), 2253 nucleotides. Lineage: Eukaryota; Metazoa; Chordata; Mammalia; Primates; Cebidae. The record is from Ensembl.
AUGAGGGGCCUGGUGAGAGGGAGCAGGGUGCUGGGGGGUGCACCGCCCUGGCUGCUCCCAGCUCGUGGAUUCCUGAGGUGGUGGGGGGGGAUCCUGUCUCUUCACCCUACCCCUGGCAUCUGCCUUCCCGGUCAACUGGGGAGCUUUCUGGGUAUCCCCCCCCACCCCCCCCCCGCCUACAUGGAACCAAAAGUAAGCAAAGCCCUCAUGGGCCCCUGGGGGCUAUACAGGCGGGCCCUCCUCCAGGUUAGCUCUACCCUCCCAGGCCAGGUGACCCGUGCCCCACUGCCUUGGGCUCCGCCAGGGUCGCUCCUGUGCUCUUCUCCCCUCUGCCGUCCUCCCUCUGGUGUCCUCCCCUCUGCUAUCCUCCCUCUGCUGUCCUCCCUCUGCCGUCCUCCUCCCUCUGCCGUUCUCCUCCCUCUGCUGUCCUCCCUCUGGUAUCCUCCCCUCUGCCAUCCUCCUCCCUCUGCUGUCCUCCCUCUGGUAUCCUCCCCUCUGCCAUCCUCCUCCCUCUGCUGUCUUCCCUCUGCCGUCCUCCUCCCUCUGGUGUCCUCCCCUCUGCCGUCCUCCUUCCUCUGCCGUCGUCCCCUCUGGUAUCCCCCCCUCUGCCAUCCUCCCCUCUGCUGUCCUCCCUCUGCUGUCCUCCCCUCUGGUAUCCUCCCCUCUGCCAUCCUCCUCCCUCUCCUGUCCUCCCUCUGGUAUCCUCCCAUCUGCCAUCCUCCUCCCUCUGCUGUCCUCCCCUCUGGUAUCCUCCCCUCUGCCAUCCUCCCUCUGCUGUCCUCCUCUCUGGUAUACUCCCCUCUGCCGUCCUCCUCCCUCUGCUGUCCUCCCUCUGGUAUCCUCCCCUCUGCCGUCCUCCCUCUGCUGUCCUCCCCUCUGGUAUCCUCCCCUCUGCCAUCCUCCUCCCUCUGCUGUCCUCCCCUCUGGUAUCCUCCCCUCUGCCAUCCUCCUCCCUCUGCUGUCUUCCCUCUGCCGUCCUCCUCCCUCUGCUGUCCUCCCUCUGGUAUCCUCCCCUCUGCCAUCCUCCUCCCUCUGCUGUCCUCCCCUCUGGUAUCCUCCCCUCUGCCAUCCUCCUCCCUCUGCUGUCCUCCCCUCUGGUAUCCUCCCCCCUCUGCUGUCUUCCCUCUGCCGUCCUCCUCCCUCUGCUGUCCUCCCUCUGGUAUCCUCCCCUCUGCCGUCCUCCUCCCUCUGCUGUCCUCCCCUCUGGUAUCCUCCCCUCUGCCAUCCUCCUCCCUCUGCUGUCCUCCCUCUGGUAUCCUCCCCUCUGCCAUCUUCCUUCCUCUGCCGUCCUCCCUCGGGUAUCCUCCCCUCUGCCAUCCUCCUCCCUCUGCUGUCUUCCCUCUGCCAUCCUCCUCCCUCUGGUGUCCUCCCCUCUGCCAUCCUCCUCCCUCUGCUGUCCUCCCUCUGGUAUCCUCCCCUCUGCCAUCCUCCUCCCUCUGGUGUCCUCCCCUCUACCGUCCUCCUCCCUCUGCUGUCCUCCCCUCUGCCGUCCUCCCUCUGGUAUCCUCCCUUCUGCCAUCCUCCUCCCUCUGCUGUCUUCCCUCUGCCAUCCUUCUCCCUCUGCUGUCCUCCCCUCUGCCGUCCUCCUCCCUCUGCUGUCCUCCUCCCUCUGGUGUCCUCCCCUCUGCCGUCCUCCUCCCUCUGGUGUCCUCCCGUCUGCCGUCCUCUCUGCCAUCCUCCUCCCUCUUCUGUCCUCCCUCUGGUAUCCUCCCCUCUGCCAUCCUCCUCCCUCUGCUGUCUUCCCUCUGCCAUCCUCCUCCCUCUGGUGUCCUCCCCUCUGCCGUCCUCCUCCCUCUGCUGUCCUCCCCUCUGGUAUCCUCCCCUCUGCCGUCCUCCCUCUGGUAUCCUCCCUUCUGCCAUCCUCCUCCCUCUGCUGUCUUCCCUCUGCCAUCCUUCUCCCUCUGGUGUCCUCCCCUCUGCCGUCCUCCUCCCUCUGGUAUCCUCCCCUCUGCCGUCCUCCUCCCUCUGCUGUCCUUCCUCUGCCGUCCUCCUCCCUCUGGUGUCCUCCCCUCUGCCGUCCUCCUCCCGUCUGCCGUCCUCCUCUCUGCCAUCCUCCUCCCUCUUCUGUCCUCCCUCUGGUAUCCUCCCCUCUGCUGGCUGAGAGCAGGGUUUCCCAGCCAUGGGCCGCAUGAUCUUUCACUCUGGCUUCUAAGAUACUCUAGCUCCAAACUCACCUUUCAGGUCAGGGGGAGUUUGCUGGGCAGGCAAGAGUUUAACCCAACCCCGGCCGGGCGCGGUGGCUCAAGCCUGUAA